This 418-nucleotide ribosomal RNA is filed under the name bacterium enrichment culture clone ALO1_GLFRUDD03FV6HK. RNAcentral's name for it is "bacterial SSU rRNA". It matches the Rfam family "Bacterial small subunit ribosomal RNA", at positions 9 to 428 of the family's 1533-position model. The record is from RNAcentral.
GAGUUUGAUCGUGGCUCAGAUUGAACGCUGGCGGCAUGCCUUACACAUGCAAGUCGAACGGCAGCACGGGAGCUUGCUCCUGGUGGCGAGUGGCGAACGGGUGAGUAAUGCAUCGGAACGUAUCCUGGAGUGGGGGGAUAACGUAGCGAAAGUUACGCUAAUACCACAUAUUCUGUGAGCAGGAAAGCGGGGGACCUUCGGGCCUCGCGCUCUUGGAGCGGCCGAUGUCGGAUUAGCUAGUUGGUGAGGUAAAGGCUCACCAAGGCGACGAUCCGUAGCAGGUCUGAGAGGAUGAUCUGCCACACUGGAACUGAGACACGGUCCAGACUCCUACGGGAGGCAGCAGUGGGGAAUUUUGGACAAUGGGGGCAACCCUGAUCCAGCCAUGCCGCGUGAGUGAAGAAGGCCUCGGUUGUAA